This is a long non-coding RNA of Arachis ipaensis, 383 nucleotides long. RefSeq lists it as uncharacterized. Lineage: Eukaryota; Viridiplantae; Streptophyta; Magnoliopsida; Fabales; Fabaceae. The record is from RefSeq and is a predicted model, not a curated record.
UGCAGUUCUAGAUGAAGCCGAAGUGAAAAACCUCAAAUAGUGUUUCAAACCCUAUUCCAUAGAAAAAAAAGGAUGCAUCCUUAGGCUGAGCCGGUGAGCUACUUUUGCGGUGAUUGUGGGAUGGAGAACACACAUAAAUCCGGUGACAUCAUCCAGUGCCGUGAGUACGGUUAUCACAUCCUUUACAAGAAGCGCACCCGUUGCAUUGUCCAGUAUGAGACUCGGUGAAAAAACCAAACAAAAUUGGGCUCCGUGUUGGCUUGCUCAUCUGUUUUAUACUUUCAUGUCUAUAUAAAUUUAAGUGAGGUCUUUAGAAUGGUAUCAUGUUUCUUUGUAUAAUAUUGUCAAUAAUGUCAAUAAUGUCGCAUAAAUCUUCAUCUUUA